GACGAACGCUGGCGGCGUGCUUAACACAUGCAAGUCGAACGGAAAGGCCCCUUUGGGGGUACUCGAGUGGCGAACGGGUGAGUAACACGUGAGUAACCUGCCCUUGACUUCGGGAUAACUUCAGGAAACUGGGGCUAAUACCGGAUAGGAAUCCUUGCUGCAUGGGGGGGGUUGGAAAGCUUCGGCGGUUUUGGAUGGACUCGCGGCGUAUUAGCUUGUUGGUGGGGUAGUGGCUUACCAAGGCUUUGAAGGGUAGCCGGCCUGAGAGGGCGAGCGGCCACAUUGGGACUGAGGUACGGCCCAGACUCCGACGGGAGGCAGCAGUGGGGAAUAUUGCACAAUGGGCGGAAGCCUGAUGCAGCAACGCCGCGUGCGGGAUGACGGCCUUCGGGUUGUAAACCGCUUUCAGCAGGGGCGAAGCUUGUGGUGACGGUACCUGCAGAAGAAGCACCGGCUAACUACGUG
This 465-nucleotide ribosomal RNA is filed under the name uncultured bacterium. RNAcentral describes it as "partial 16S ribosomal RNA". It matches the Rfam family "Bacterial small subunit ribosomal RNA", at positions 28 to 507 of the family's 1533-position model. The record is from RNAcentral.